AUCAAAUCAAACUUUAUUUAUAUAGCACCUCCAAAACAAUACAUUUCUAGACAAAUAUGAAAUUAAGAUAGAUCAAAGAAGAGAGAUAAACAAUAGCAAAACAACAGAGGACCUGAGACCGACACCAAGAAGACUCACUCAGGACUGUCAGAGCCUCCGUACCACCCUACUGACAGGACAGGACUGUCAGAGCCUCCGUACCACCCUACUGACAGGACUGUCAGAGCCUCCGUACCACCCUACUGACAGGACAGGACUGUCAGAGCCUCCGUACCACCCUACUGACAGGACUGUCAGAGCCUCCGUACCACCCUACUGACAGGACAGGACUGUCAGGGCCUCCGUACCACCCUACUGACAGGACAGGACUGUCAGGGCCUCCGUACCACCCUACUGACAGGACAGGACUGUCAGGGCCUCCGUACCACCCUACUGACAGGACAGGACUGUCAGGGCCUCCGUACCACCCUACUGACAGGACAGGACUGUCAGGGCCUCCGUACCACCCUACUGACAGGACAGGACUGUCAGGGCCUCCGUACCACCAUACUGACAGGACUGUCAGAGCAUCCGUACCACCAUACUGACAGGGCAGGACUGUCAGGGCCUCCGUACCACCAUACUGACAGGACUGUCAGAGCCUCCGUACCACCAUACUGACAGGACUGUCAGAGCCUCCGUACCACCAUACUGACAGGACUGUCAGAGCCUCCGUACCACCAUACUGACAGGACAGGACUAUCAGAGCCUCCGUACCACCAUACUGACAGGACAGGACUGUCAGAGCCUCCGUACCACCAUGCUGACAGGACUGUCAGAGCCUCCGUACCACCCUACUGACAGGACAGGACUAUCAGAGCCUCCGUACCACCCUACUGACAGGACAGGACUGUCAGGGCCUCCGUACCACCCUACUGACAGGACAGGACUGUCAGAGCCUCCGUACCACCCUACUGACAGGACAGGACUGUCAGAGCCUCCGUACCACCCUACUGACAGGACAGGACUGUCAGGGCCUCCGUACCACCCUACUGACAGGACAGGACUGUCAGAGCCUCCGUACCACCAUGCUGACUGGACAGGACUGUCAGAGCCUCCGUACCACCAUGCUGACUGGACAGGACUAUCAGAGCCUCCGUACCACCAUACUGACAGGACUGUCAGAGCCUCCGUACCACCCUACUGACAGGACAGGACUGUCAGAGCCCCCGUACCACCCUACUGACAGGACUGUCAGAGCCUCCGUACCACCAUACUGACAGGACUGUCAGAGCCUCCGUACCACCCUACUGACAGGACAGGACUGUCAGAGCCUCCGUACCACCAUGCUGACUGGACAGGACUGUCAGAGCCACCGUACCACCCUACUGACAGGACAGGACUGUCAGAGCCUCCGUACCACCAUACUGACAGGACAGGACUGUCAGAGCCUCCGUACCACCAUACUGACAGGACUGUCAGAGCCUCCGUACCACCAUACUGACAGGACAGGACUGUCAGAGCCUCCGUACCACCCUACUGACAGGACAGGACUGUCAGAGCCUCCGUACCACCAUACUGACAGGACAGGACUGUCAGAGCCUCCGUACCACCAUGCUGACAGGACAGGACUGUCAGAGCCUCCGUACCACCAUACUGACAGGACAGGACUGUCAGAGCCUCCGUACCACCAUACUGACAGGACAGGACUGUCAGAGCCUCCGUACCACCCUACUGACAGGUCAGGACUGUCAGAGCCUCCGUACCACCCUACUGACAGGUCAGGACUGUCAGAGCCUCCGUACCACCCUACUGACAGGACAGGACUGUCAGAGCCUCUGUACCACCCUGCUGACAGGACAGGACUGUCAGAGCCUCUGUACCACCAUGCUGACUGGCUACUAAUCAAGUCAUGUCAAAACAACAGAUUUGUCUCUCCAGUUUUGUGGAUACUAGAUGUAUAAAAAUAAGGAAAAGUCCUAUCUGAAUCAUACAGGCUGUAGAUAGACAGUCUCCCUUGUGUGUCAGUCUCAGUCCCACCGUGUGCCAUUGACAGGUCAUGUAAGUUAUGCUCCCCAUCCUAUAAUGCAAAACUCCAUUAAGAUUGAGUCAGAGGUGGUGAAACGUUUAUAAAAAGCUCAGUGUAGGGGGCUACCGAGUGGGGCAGAAGUCUAAGGUGUUACUACGGUCCUGGGUUCAUAUCCAGGGCUGUGCCACAACCGACCGUGGUAGGGAGUCCCAUAGGACGGCGCACAAUUGUCCCAGCGUCGUCCGGGUUAGGAGAGGGUUUGGCCCGGCGUCGUCCGGGUUAGGGGUGGGUUUGGCCCAGCAUCGUCCGGGUUAGGGGAAGGUUUGGCCCAGCAUCGUCCGGGUUAGGAGAGGGUUUGGCCCAGCAUCGUCCGGAUUAGGGGAAGGUUUGGCCCAGCGUCGUCCGGGUUAGGAGAGGGUUUGGCCCAGCGUCGUCUUGGUUAGGAGAGGGUUUGGCCGGUGGGGCUUUACUUGGCUCAUCACACUCUAGCGACUCCUUGUGGCAGGCCGGGUGCCUGCGGGCUGACCCCUGAUGCCAGUUGAAUGGUGUUUUCCUCCGACACAUUGGUGCGGCUGGCUUCCGGGUUAAGCUGGCGGGUGUUAAGGAGCGCGGUUUGGCAGGUCAUGUUUCGAAGGACGUAUGGACUCCACCUUCGCCUCUCCUGAGCCCAUUGGGGAGUUGCAGCGAUGACAAGAUUGAACAAUUUGGGAGAAAGGGGGGGAUAAAAUAUAGAAUAAAUAAAUAAAAUAAGAAAAGCUCAGUGUAUAGCCUUGAGGAAAUACAUCCUAGUUUCCUAUCCUUUGGGUGAUGAGGCAUAGAUCAUUGACGGUCAUAUGCCUUGUGACUCUAUACCACAUCUGUCCGGAAUAUUCUGUGACUGAUAUUAUUCCCUGUCAAUCAUUCCCUAACAGCAGGUGUGUGUGUGUGUGUGUGUGUAGUCAGUAAUAAUCGUGGACAUUCCCUGUGCUGACGACUCAUGUUGAGCUCCCAGUAUUGGAGUUAGUUAGCGGUUGACUCACAACAAAAAGAGACAGAGAAGUUCCUGAUAUGGGAGAAAUGACCAGAGAGAACAGAGAACUAAGGAAAUGAAACUCGGGGAGCUGCUUUCAAGCUCUUACAUUCAUCACCAGGUAUGUUUUAACUGUGUCGACUAGAAGUUAUGACAUAUACACACAUAUACACAGUGCAUUUGGAAAGUACUCAGACCCCUUGGGUUUUUUCCACAUUUUGUUAGGUUACAGCCUUAUUCCUCAAAUCAAUCUUCACACAAUAUCCCAUAACGACAAAGCAAAAACAGGAUUGUAGCAAUGUUUGCUAAUUUAUAAAGCAAUUAAACUGAAAUAUCACAUUUACUUAAGUAUUCAGACUCUUUCUUCCGGUACUUUGUUGAAGUACCUUUGGCAGCGAUUACAGCCUCGAGUCUUCUUGGGUAUGACACUACAAGCUUGGCACACCUGUAUUUGGAGAGUUUCUCCCAUUCUUCUCUGCAGAUCCUCUUAAGCUCUGUCAGGUUGGAUGGGGAGCGUCGCUGCAAAGCUAUUUUCAGGUCUCUCCAGAGAUGUUCGAUCAGGUUUAAGUCUGGGCUCUGGCUGGGCCACUAAAGGACAUUCAGAGACGUAUCCAGAAGCCAC
Molecule: long non-coding RNA, 3639 nt
Organism: Oncorhynchus keta (chum salmon)
Lineage: Eukaryota; Metazoa; Chordata; Actinopteri; Salmoniformes; Salmonidae
Exons: 3
Source: RefSeq, a predicted model, not a curated record